AUUGAACGCUGGCGGCAAGCCUAACACAUGCAAGUCGAACGAGUGGCGGACGGGUGAGUAAUGUCUGGGAAUCUUCCUGAUGGAGGGGGAUCACUACUGGAAACGGUAGCCACUACCGCAUACCUUCGGAUGUGUCCAGGUGGGAUUAGCUAGUAGGUGGGGUAAAGGCUCACCUCGGCGACGCACCCUAGCUGGUCUGAGAGGAUGACCAGCCACACUGGAACUGGGACACGGUCCAGACUCCUACGGGAGGCAGCAGUGGGGAAUAUUGCACAAUGGGCGCAAGCCUGAUGCAGCCAUGCCGCGGGUAUGAAGAAGGCCUUCGGGUUGUAAAGUACUUUCAGCUGGGAGGCGUUACCCGCAGAAGAAGCACCGGCUAACUCCGUGCCAGCAGCCGCGGUAAUAC
Molecule: ribosomal RNA, 406 nt
Filed under: uncultured bacterium
Lineage: Bacteria
Description: partial 16S ribosomal RNA
Rfam family: Bacterial small subunit ribosomal RNA
Source: RNAcentral